GAAUCGGAGUUAAAACGAGGGAGAUAUGACCGAAAUACCAAACCGACACGUUGCUGUUCGGAAUCUGGUGCCUGCGCGUGAGUUACACGCGCCGGAUAAUGGCUGCGCGUGGGGGCGCGUGUCCAUCCUUCUUUUGGCGCGUGAGGGCGCGUGAGAGAAACCUAGGCCGUUUGCUGUAAAAUUAUAUCGUCGAAGAGAUAACUCAACAAGGUUCGACGAGCGGCUCUAAAGGAAAGGAGGUAGCUGAAGAAUAAGUUUAAUUUGCUGUCUAUAGCAUGUUUAGAAUAUUUUCAUUUAUAUGCGAACCUAUGUAUGUCUUGGAUAUGUUUAAGACGUUCAGUUAUAUCUUGCGAGAGAUGAUGUCCAUGUAAUUCAUUUUGUAAACGUCUUGAACAAUUUUAUGAUAAAUAAAGUAUUAUGGUUGUGAACCAUAUCAGGUUCGAUCUAUC
Molecule: long non-coding RNA, 449 nt
Organism: Diospyros lotus (date-plum)
Lineage: Eukaryota; Viridiplantae; Streptophyta; Magnoliopsida; Ericales; Ebenaceae
Exons: 3
Source: RefSeq, a predicted model, not a curated record